CUUGCUAAGGAUACUCACAUCAGGGUUUCCCAUACAUUCAUUAAUUUGUGGUGCCCCAUGUGUGUGUGUCUGUGAGUCUUUUUGAAUGUGUGUGUGUCUUUUUGAAUGUGUGAGUGAGCGUGUCAGUAAGUUUGAGUGUGUGUGUGUGUGUGUGCGUGAGUUUGUGUGUGUCUACCUCCAGGUUGUUGUGUUUUGGUGUGAGUGUGUCCACCUCCAUCUCCAGGUUUGUGUGUGUGUGUCCACCUCCAUAUCGGCGUGUGUAUGUGUGUGUGUGAGUGAAAUUUGCAACAAGAAGUCUGUAGAGCAGUCAUAGAAAGUGUAGCAAUGGCAUAGCAAAAGGGUUAAAUAUGAUAUAUUUAACCCUUUUGUUGUGCCUUAAUCCCCAAACACCACCAAUAUAAUCUAAUUCUGUGGGAAACACUGCACAUGUAUUUAUCAAAUAAAUUCCAGAAAUUCAUCACAAUGUUUAUAUACAAGAUGAGAAAAGGAGAGGAAAAUGGAGAGGACAAAAAAUAAAAUUAGGUAAUGAAGAGAGAAAAGGAGAUGAUUAAGGAAGGGAAAUGAGAUGGUAAGAAUGAAAAAGACAGAAAGAAAAAGAUAAAGAGCAGAGAAGAAAGAAAAGACAAAUUGAGAUGAACAGAGAAAGGAAAGAUGUAGUAGACUAAUGUAGUCAAACCCACCUUUGUCUGACGUAAAAGCUCAGCCAAAAGCUGGCCGGUAAGGCCUUUCUUCUUCCGAAAGAGGUCUAUCAGCCUUGGAGAGAAACGGUCAAGUUCAUCAAAGAAAUUCUCUUGCAGACUUUUCCCCACCACUCUGGAGAACUCGUAAUAAACCUGAAACAAAACAUGUAUUGCAUAUAAAGCUAAAAACAAGAAUCUAUGGACAAAUUGUAUUUAACAUUACAGUGACACAUACGUCUUUUUUAAACACUCGGCAGUAAUACAUACCUGGCUUUCUGUGAAAAGAGCUAGCCAUCGAUGUAACAACUGGCUGAUGGCAGGUUUGUUUUGGACAACUUCUUUUCUCCGAAGCGCAAAUGUCUCUUUCUUAACAAGGGACCCAUUUGGCUUUGUCUUCAUUUCAUUGACCAAAACCUGGCGAGCUUCUUCCAGGCUGUGGUCAUCCCUCCCCUCUGGAUAUUCAGGUAGGAAAUUUAAUUCUCCUUUCCUUGGCUUUUUUUCUUCCCUUUGUUAGAAGGGUCGGCAUUUGCAGUGUACCUUCCACGUUUACCACCAUUGACAGUGACAUCAACUCGUCCAAUCUGGCACAUUUUGGUUCUGUAGUUUCCCCAUCUUGAACUUGAGACUGUCCUUCCAUCCAUUCCAGCCGGAGGAUGACCUUGAUUAAGGAAGGGAAAUGAGAUGGUAAGAAUGAAAAAGACAGAAAGAAAAAGAAAAAGAGCAGAGAAGAAAGAAAAGACAAAUUGAGAUGAACAGAGAAAGGAAAGCGUCUUUUCUUAGCAUCUCUUCUUUAACAGAAGAGAUGCUAAGUUGUGCUCAAGCUGUUUUUCUAAAUCAUGAAGAUCAGUCUCACUAGCUUCUACACUGACAUCUUCUAAAUCGUCCAUAUCAUCAGCAUGUGACAUUUGGUCUUGUGCAGCAUCAAGGUCAUCGCUUACAUUAUCCAAACCAAUGAUUUCUGACUUUAAACUUUUCCAUUUCUGGUCCUGGUGUACUUUACUCUUGUGUGCUUUGAAAGUGGAGUAUAUACUUGUUUCAAAGUUACAGUCUUUAUACGGGCACCUGACUUUAUGGUUUACUUUUAAGUGUGUAGUACGCAGGUGAGUAAAGUAGUCAGUCUGAGAACAAGACUCGGCAAACCCACAUGACAGACAGCAAAAUUUAACUGGUGCAUCUGGUUGCUGCUGAUCAGGAGUUUUGGUGUGAAGGCGAGAUAAAUGUACUUUUAGUGCAUUGAGUGAUUUAAAUGUACAUGGACAUUCCUGAUAUAAACAAGGAAAAGGCUGUGUUCUUGCAUAACUUCCAUGUUUUAGCCUAUAAUGUUAAAAUAGCUGUGCUCUCUUUUCACAGUUAAGAGGGCAAUACUUACACUUCCAAAGCAUAUUUUUCAGAGGUUGGUAUUCAGUUUGUUGCUAAUAUCAGGAUACUGGGUUCAAAGGAAUCUCUUCCUAUGACCUGCAACACAAUAAAACAAAGAAAAUAAGAGACAAGGGAACUUAUAUAAGCUACAGUAGUCUAAUGCAACAAUAUACCUGUAUUUUCAAAGUAGCUAACAUUAAAGAUAUAAUGUAAUUAUUAGGGGUGUAAAGUUAUUGCUAAUAUACUCUGUCAUAAUCCGGUUGCAAUUCACUUUCUAUUAAGUGCUUGAAGGUAAAAUAAUCACUAAUGCGAGACAUAUGUCAUACAUAAGACAAUAAUACAAUGAACGGUCAAAGUCAUUUACAUUUAACGUUAAUACUAGGAAAAAACAAUCCAAUGUGGUCGCUAACACUCUUCUUCCCACUGAGUGCGUGUCCCUCGCUCAGCGUGGAUCGGGCUGUGUCACCAAGACGCUAAAGCUACAGGUGAAAAAUGUCCAGUCGAACUGGUUACAACAACAGCUUUACACUGCUAACAAAAGCCCCUCCAGUAAGAAAAAAGUAACGUUGCCCUCCCUUCCCCGCCGCCAUGAAUGUGCGUGGUUUUCGCCCGCGGCGCCUCUUAGGCCGGCUGAGACGCUUGCGCCACGCAUCCAGAGAGGCAGUUCAAAGCCGGGCGGCGCCCGCCAAGUCGCUACAGGUGGAAAAUGUCCUGUUGAACUGGUUAAAACUGGUUAAAACGACAGUUUUCCAAGUUCACAAGCGCGUUAAGCGAGAAAGGCAAUUUGGCUAGCUAACGUUAAGCCAUCAAACAGGUGGUUACAGGUGAUGUCUGUUGAACUUAAUAAAACGUCUUACUCUAAAGUUACUCAUAAAAAGCCCCUCCAGUGAUAAAAGUGACUUACUUAGCUAGCUAAGUACCUUAACGGAUGACAAUGUUAAUGUCCAUCGACGUCAAACUGCUUCACUUGGACUUCUCACAAACAGCGCACCAAGUGAAAAAAAAACUUGUAACGUAACGUUAUCGUUAACUAGCAGGUGAAAAUGGCUGCCGACCUAGAUUAAGAUAAUGUCCUACUCACCAGCAAACCCCUUGUAUCAACACACAAACACUGAAACAUUAAGUUGAAUAACUCCUCAGCAGCAACGUUAGUUAAAUCAAAGUUACUUACCAUCUCUGGCGAGUUUUAGCAGAAACUUAACUGUCCGCGGCGAGAAAGUGGUGUCUUCUCGGCAAAAAGCAUAGACAUGGCGGCAAAGUGACGGCGAUCACGUUCCCAUCGUGCAUUGCAUGACUAAAACUUGGGAAUUUUAAGCUAUUCCACUUAAAGUUGUUCACAGGCUCAACUAGGUCUACAAAUUAGUAUUAGUGUCAAAGAAUUACUCAACCUCGAGCCAAUAGCCUUCGAGUAUGAGAUGUGACAGAGUAUGUGAUUUGUUGAAUGUAGUAACGAAUACGCCCUUCAAUGAACGAGUUUCAUAUGAGUCUGAACUAGAUCUAGAGAUCUUAUCGUUCGACAAUGAAAUGACUGAACUGGCUCACAUGUCAUUCGUAAACGAACUGAAUGAACGGAUACAUGUCGUUCGUGAAUGAAAUGAACUGGCACAUAGCUUAUCUUGUUCGUGAACGAAAUGAAUUAGAGUAAACUGGGUUAGUCUGCCAUUUAGCAUGUCAAUCUCGGAAAAUGCAAAGCGCAGUUAUAGGUACAGUACUGUGCACAUACGCUCGUUUUGAUAUUUAGCAACUCCACGUUUAAUCCAUAGACAGUAAAAGAAUCCCCAAUUUAUGGAUGUGAAUAUAGAAUAUACAAACUGUCUGACCAAACAAUUAAAAUGCUAAUUAGGCAAGAAACCUUGUGCUUUGUUCAUCUGAACAACUCAAUUAGACUUUAUAUAUUGAAUGCGAUUAUACACACAUUUUAAUAAAGCCAGAUUAGUUUUUGUAACAAGUGAAUACGUUCGUUGACUUAAGACAUAACACAGAAUACACGCUUUUUUGCCAUCUGCUUGCAUAUUUUGUGUAAAACGAAGAAAUUAUCACUGAACGAAUCUGAACGAAUCAUUUUGGUGAACGAACUGAAAAUGAACAAAUCUCUAGAAAGAAUCAUAAUUUCCACCACUAAUUAGUGCUGCAACGACGCGUCGACGUCAUUGAUUAUGUCAACUACAAAAAUACAUCGACGCGCCACACUGUUUACAUCUCGCGUAAUGGCAUAUUGGGAAUGGAGAAAGUGGCUUUCUAUCACAAAACAGAGACCACUGUUAUCAAAAGUAUUGGAAAUUUUUUAAACAGAGGACAAAUAAAAUUUGUCAAAUUACCCAGCCGGCACAUGACCGACCUUCAACGUGAAAUAUGGUUGAAAUAAGGUCAGUUGUGGUUUCAACGUUGAAACAACGUUGAUUCAACGUUUAAAGCUGAAUGGUUGAAAAACAUCAAGCACAUGACCAACUUUCAAUGUUGAAAUAUGGUUGAAAUAAGGUCAGUUGUGGUUUCAACGUUGAAACAACGUUGAUUCAACGUUUAAAGCUGAAUGGUUGAAAAACAUCCAGCACAUGACCAACUUUCAAUGUUGAAAUAUGGUUGAAAUAAGGUCAGUUGUGGUUUCAACGUUGAAACAACGUUGAUUCAACGUUUAAAGAUGAACUGUUGAAAAACUUCCAGCACAUAACCAACUUUCAACAUUGAAAUAUGGUUGAAAUAAGGUCAGUUGUUUUAAUGAAACAAAGUUAAAAAUGUUUAAUGCUAAAUGGUAGAAAAAGGUUAACAAGCUUUUAAAUUAUUUAUAUUAAAUUAUUUAAAUUAAUUUAUUAUUUUUAAUAGCAUUUUAAAAUAUUUUAGUCAUGAUACCUAUUCUAAAAUCUAAAGGUAUAUGUUAAAUAUUAUCAUCAUUAACAACAAUAAAACUAUAUACAUUUCAACUCCCAUUGGUAGUUUUAUUUUAUUACUUCUAUCAUGAUUGGUUAAUCUGGCUGUCAUUCAGGAAACUGGACAAUGAAUCGGUUCGCGCCUUUCUACAUUUAAAAAUAUGACCGUUAUUGUCGUCUUUCUGUGAGUGAGGCGGCUAACUGUGAGCUGCUGCUCGUUAUAACUGACUGCUCGGUCGGUCCCGAAUUAUUUCAUAUUUGCGUGUACAUUUUUUUUUAUUCGAGCGAAUUUGAGUCGUGACAUGUCAAUGGAGAACAAAAACUGUGAACACAAGAAGGGUCAGGUGUUCUGCGAGGUCCUGAAAACAUCCUGGCAAAAUGAGGUAAGAAAAUCGCUAACGUUAUCUUUAUUAUCUUUUGAAAAUAGUAAAGUAUUACCAGAGUUUACAAAUGGGUAGCUUAAAGGACAUGUAACCGGCAGAUAAAUAAAUAGCCGUGUGUCUAUUUUUGCAUUGCUUUAUCACAGCUGAUCAAGUUAGAUGCUCACCUACUGUGUUGCUGGUAAGAGAGAUUUAGAGAUGGUUUAGAGAUUUUCCCAUAUUUUCCUGAUAUGAAUCCCAUGCAUUAGGUGUGUUAUAUAUGUUUGUAUUCUUAUAAUAGUUUCAAAGUGUUUUCUGAAACAUAUAAGUGCAAAUGUCGGUAUUUAAAUUAUAUAUUUUUAAUGAAUUAAUGAAAAUGAAUAAAUAAAAAAAAGGAUUGUUUAAAGCCAUGGUUCUCAAAGGGUCAGGCCCCCUCUAGUUGAUAUGCAGGUGAAUCACUAAAUUAAACUAAUUAAUGUUAAUACAUUUUAACUUAAUCUUUGAGUAAGGUUUUUUUUUUUUGCACAUUUAAGUAUGUUAGAGUUAAAGUACAGUACAGUUUUGUAACUUUUGUUACAUAAUUACAUUUAAAAUUACAUUUUAAUUAAAACUUUUUUUUUCAUUUACCUGUGUAUGUAAGCACAGUUGUAGUGUUAAUGUUCAAACUGUAUUUACCAUGGUAAAGUGUCUGUCAACAAUUAAUAUUCUUAUUAGAAAUAAAACUGCCUCAUUUUUUAACUGUAGAGCUGUAGCUGAAUAGUUUGGCCUACUACACUGCUGAAAUGUAAUGUUGGUCAUUAUGGUGGAACUUAAUAUUUAAUAACAAAUAUUUUCUGAAGUGGUACUUGGUAUAAAAAGUUUGAGAACCAGUGGUUUAAAGAAAUGGUAUAAUAUGAAAUCCUGCUUUUUAAGAACUUUUCAGUAAACCAUUUCUUCUUUCCCCUUGUAGAGUCAUCGAGGAUCCAGUUUAUUCUUGAAACAUUGAAGUUUGCGCUCUGCAAGUGAACGACGCCUUGUGGUGCCAUCCCAAAGAGGUUCAAAAUCACUCUCUCUGACCUUUUCCUGGACUGUGCCCAGCUGGUGGAAUGACCUCCCAAUCUCAAUCCGAACUGCUGAGUCUUUACUCAUUUUCAAGAAACAUCUUAAGACCCAUCUUUUUCACCAGAACUUAACCAGCUAAUGCUAGCACUUUUCCUUCUUUUCUUGUCUUUCAUAUAAAAAAAAAAAACCUGGCGAUGCGUUCUGUGCUAGACUAACUGAGACUUGACAUAGCACUUGUAUCCUGUUGUUGUUCGCUUGUACACCUGACUGCUUCUGUUGUUCUCAUUUGUAAGUUGCUUUGGAUAAAAGCGUCUGUUAAAUGAUUAAAUGUAAAUGUUUAUACAGGACGGUACAGAAAGUGCACAAGUGGGAGAGAGUGGAGGGGACGGCGUCAGAAAGGACCUAGCGCUGGGACACUUUCAAGGAUCACCCGAAGCACAACCACACUAUAUACACGAGGCUGUUGUUUCUAACAUUUUAGAGUGCCCUGCAGUAGAAAUCUCAUUCUGCAUUCCCCACGGUAAAGAAGAUACAGUCCGGGGGGGUUCCCAUUAGAAAUCAACUGGUUGAAGGUUCCCUGCUCGUACUGUGCAACACAUUUUCACUGCACAAAUGUACACAACUUGAAAUGAGACACAUUACUAAAACAUGUUUUUGACAGAAACUGUAGUUUUCCACCAAAAUAAAAGAUCCACUGGUUUCAGUCAUAAAGGUACAAGGGUUUGUCUUGUAAGUGCUGCAAAAAAUAUGCAUUUUUGUGCCAAAUUAUUUUACAAAAACCUUUAAAUAUUAUGGUAUUUGGAUUGUUCUACUACAUGUUUUUAGCAUUACCUCCAUGCAUACUCUGCAUAAUAAAGUGUGGGAUUAUUUU
Long non-coding RNA from Carassius gibelio (silver crucian carp), 7174 nucleotides. RefSeq lists it as uncharacterized. The transcript is spliced from 2 exons. The record is from RefSeq and is a predicted model, not a curated record. Lineage: Eukaryota; Metazoa; Chordata; Actinopteri; Cypriniformes; Cyprinidae.